RNAcentral lists this ribosomal RNA (654 nucleotides) under uncultured archaeon. RNAcentral's name for it is "bacterial SSU rRNA". It matches the Rfam family "Archaeal small subunit ribosomal RNA", at positions 508 to 1160 of the family's 1478-position model. The record is from RNAcentral.
GCCUAAAGCGUCCGUAGCCGGCUCUGUAAGUUUUCGGUUAAAUCUGUACGCUUAACGUACAGGCCGCCGGAAAUACUGCAGAACUAGGGAGUGGGAGAGGUAGACGGUACUCGGGAGGAAGUGGUAAAAUGCUUUGAUCUCUCGAUGACCACCUGUGGCGAAGGCGGUCUACCAGAACACGUCCGACGGUGAGGGAUGAAAGCUGGGGGAGCAAACCGGAUUAGAUACCCGGGUAGUCCCAGCUGUAAACUAUGCAAACUCAGUGAUGCAUUGGCUUGUGGCCAAUGCAGUGUUGCAGGGAAGCCGUUAAGUUUGCCGCCUGGGAAGUACGUACGCAAGUAUGAAACUUAAAGGAAUUGGCGGGGGAGCACCACAAGGGGUGAAGCCUGCGGUUCAAUUGGAGUCAACGCCAGAAAUCUUACCCGGAGAGACAGCAGAAUGAAGGUCAAGCUGAAGACUUUACCAGACAAGCUGAGAGGUGGUGCAUGGCCGCCGCCAGCUCGUGCCGUGAGAUGUCCUGUUAAGUCAGGUAACGAGCGAGAUCCCUGCCUCUAGUUGCUACCACUACUCUCAGGAGUAGUGGGGCGAAUUAGCGGGACCGCCGCAGUUAAUGCGGAGGAAGGAAGGGGCCACGACAGGUCAGUAUGCCCCGAA